RNAcentral lists this ribosomal RNA (812 nucleotides) under uncultured marine bacterium. RNAcentral describes it as "bacterial SSU rRNA". It matches the Rfam family "Bacterial small subunit ribosomal RNA", at positions 69 to 877 of the family's 1533-position model. The record is from RNAcentral.
GUAACAUGGAUUGCUUGCAAUCUGAUGACGAGUGGCGCACGGGUGCGUAACGCGUAUGCAAUCUACCUUUUACAGGAGAAUAGCCCAGAGAAAUUUGGAAUAAUGCUCCAUAAUAUCAUUUAUCAGCAUUGGUUUAUGAUUAAAGCUCCGGCGGUAAAAGAUGAGCAUGCGUUCUAUUAGCUAGUAGGUGAGGUAACGGCUCACCUAGGCUACGAUAGAUAGGGGCCCUGAGAGGGGGAUCCCCCACACUGGUACUGAGACACGGACCAGACUCCUACGGGAGGCAGCAGUGAGGAAUAUUGGACAAUGGAGGAAACUCUGAUCUAGCCAUGCCGCGUGCAAGAUGACUGCCCUAUGGGUUGUAAACUGCUUUUAUAUAGGAAGAAACACUCCCACGUGUGGGGGCUUGACGGUACUAUAUGAAUAAGGAUCGGCUAACUCCGUGCCAGCAGCCGCGGUAAUACGGAGGAUCCAAGCGUUAUCCGGAAUCAUUGGGUUUAAAGGGUCCGCAGGCGGCCUGUUAAGUCAGAGGUGAAAUCCUACAGCUCAACUGUAGAACUGCCUUUGAUACUGAUAGGCUUGAGUUAUUGUGAAGUGGUUAGAAUGUGUGGUGUAGCGGUGAAAUGCUUAGAUAUCACACAGAAUACCCAUUGCGAAGGCAGAUCACUAACAAUAUACUGACGCUCAUGGACGAAAGCGUGGGGAGCGAACGGGAUUAGAUACCCCGGUAGUCCACGCCGUAAACGAUGGAUACUAACUGUUCGACCUUCGGGUUGAGUGGUCAAGCGAAAGUGAUAAGUAUCCCACCUGGG